CCUACGGGCGGCAGCAGUGGGGAAUAUUGGACAAUGGGGGGAACCCUGAUCCGGCCAUGCCGCGUGUGUGAAGAAGGCCCUCGGGUUGUAAAGCACUUUCAGUGAGGAAGAACGCCUGGUGGUUAAUACCCAUCAGGAAAGACAUCACUCACAGAAGAAGCACCGGCUAACUCCGUGCCAGCAGCCGCGGUAAUACGGAGGGUGCGAGCGUUAAUCGGAAUUACUGGGCGUAAAGCGCGCGUAGGUGGCUUGAUAAGCCGGUUGUGAAAGCCCCGGGCUCAACCUGGGAACGGCAUCCGGAACUGUCAAGCUAGAGUGCAGGAGAGGAAGGUAGAAUUCCCGGUGUAGCGGUGAAAUGCGUAGAGAUCGGGAGGAAUACCAGUGGCGAAGGCGGCCUUCUGGACUGAAACUGACACUGAGGUGCGAAAGCGUGGGUAGCAAACAGGAUUAGAUACCCUAGUAGUC
RNAcentral lists this ribosomal RNA (465 nucleotides) under Vreelandella stevensii. RNAcentral's name for it is "partial 16S ribosomal RNA". It matches the Rfam family "Bacterial small subunit ribosomal RNA", at positions 338 to 795 of the family's 1533-position model. Lineage: Bacteria; Pseudomonadati; Pseudomonadota; Gammaproteobacteria; Oceanospirillales; Halomonadaceae. The record is from RNAcentral.